ACGUUAGCUGCUUGCCACAAUUAGUGUGAACUGCUCAUGGAUUUUGCUGUUUUGAUACUAAUCCUCCUUGUUUUGUGUUUUAACAGAUACUAUUGAAAAUGAGAACUACUUCUUGGCUAAAUACACAUACGGCGCAGGCAACCUGAAGACAGAAAUACUUAAAAACGGCUACCGGGGCGCUGACUCUCUGAGGUACAACAAAAUAACAAUUCUGGGCCUGAAACUGAGACCUCACACUGUCACUCUGAAUGGAAGAACCAUCCAUAGAGAUACCUUCUCCUAUGAGCUGAGUGGGAAACUCACUCUAUGGAUUUCUGCCCCACUUACUCGGCCUCUGAACAUCGCAGUUUACUAAAAUGUUCAGAAAACACUGAUAUCCUUGGCUCUCAGACAUUGAUCUUUGGUUUUAUGUAAAGAAGCAUUUAGUCAUUAAAGUGUUGCUUACACACCUGAU
RNAcentral lists this long non-coding RNA (454 nucleotides) under Anser cygnoides (Swan goose). RNAcentral's name for it is "lncRNA (ENSACDG00005001810.1)". The record is from RNAcentral. Lineage: Eukaryota; Metazoa; Chordata; Aves; Anseriformes; Anatidae.